CCCCCCUCCCCCCCCCAGUGCUGGCUUCCAGGUCACUGCUGUCACUGUCCUAUAGGAGCCCUUAAUGUGAGUCCAGUCCGGGAGAAACAAAAAUUCCUAACUAGGUCUUUUUGGCUGUCCCUAUGAGGAGCUGCCUUCCACUGAAGAUGGGAGCCUGAAGGAGUUCUUCAGAAGUGAGUGCUGCUAUUACAGAAAUAAAGUCAUAGUUCCUUCUUCAACCCAAAGAAGAGGAAACAAAGGAAAUUGGAAGAGGAUAAAUGAAAUGUCCAGGAAGGAGACAGGAAACUGAAACAUAAGAAUGACAGAGGCUAUGGAGAAUAAAAUGGCAAGAAAAGAGAAUAUAGGUGUGCCCACCCCAAACUCUGUCUAUACUAGUCUACCAUGAAUUCUUUACCCGCUUUAUUGUUCUAACAGUCUGAUUACCUCACCAACCUGUUAGGAAAAAACAAACAAAUUUUUUGAUAACGAAGCAUUAAAGUCCUUCACCAAGUAAAAGAAUCCUUCCCAGCCCGGCAUUCUGAUCCUCUAAUGUCUUUCCACUUAAACCUGUUUGCUAGGGCCAAAUCUUUAAUAGCCUUUCUUUUUGUCUUAUCUUUUAAGAUCCAACAAAGGAACCAACAUGACUUUAUUUCUCAACUGCCUUUUGUGUAUGCAUUGACCAGGCGUAUAUAGUAUGUAAUCAAACUUAAUCAAUUAAAUUAACAAAGUAUUUCCACUACAGUCCUUUAGGAUGGCUUGGAGAUAAAAGCGUGAGUGUGUCAGUGAAAGGGAAGGAAAGUGCUCUAAAGGAUAUGAUGGUAUGUAUAGUGUGCAAGACAAAUGACUAUAUUACUAAGUUUUGUUAAAUCAUUGAACAGAAGAGUUUGCACUGUCAAUGUUUGAGUGUCUAGCCACGUUUUAUGCUUUGAUUUUGUAACUUUAACAACUAUUGUUAAGAUGACAAUAUGUAAUGUAUCAACUAGCAAUUUUAUGAUGUUAAUGUUUUUUGAAUUUUGUAUUUUACUUUUUUCUCAUUUUUUCUAUUUUGUCUUUUUUUAAAUUUUCUUUUCUUUCUUUAAAUAAAAUUAAAAAUGUUUGAAAACCA
Long non-coding RNA from Cavia porcellus (domestic guinea pig), 1084 nucleotides. RefSeq lists it as uncharacterized. The transcript has 3 exons. Lineage: Eukaryota; Metazoa; Chordata; Mammalia; Rodentia; Caviidae. The record is from RefSeq and is a predicted model, not a curated record.